UACGUAGGGGGCAAGCGUUAUCCGGAUUUACUGGGUGUAAAGGGAGUGUAGGCGGCGAUGCAAGUCAGAUGUGAAAGGCGUGGGCUCAACCUGCGGACUGCAUUUGAAACUGUAUUGCUAGAGUGUCGGAGAGGUAAGUGGAAUUCCUAGUGUAGCGGUGAAAUGCGUAGAUAUUAGGAGGAACACCAGUGGCGAAGGCGGCUUACUGGACGAUAACUGACGCUGAGGCUCGAAAGCGUGGGGAGCAAACAGG
RNAcentral lists this ribosomal RNA (253 nucleotides) under uncultured bacterium. RNAcentral's name for it is "partial 16S ribosomal RNA". It matches the Rfam family "Bacterial small subunit ribosomal RNA", at positions 524 to 776 of the family's 1533-position model. The record is from RNAcentral.